CAUUUCAUUGGAAUUAAAAUGUGCAUAUGUAUAAAGGUUUCUUGGGUAUUUUUUUUUUUCUUUUAACACCUUGCCUUUCAUUUCUUGUAUGUUUCUUCCCGCUGGAAAUUACUACUUGGUGCUAUUUUUUCUAAUCCUAUGUUAAAGCAGCUUUCCAUUAAUUCCAGAGUUUCUGUACUUUUCAGUGGUCAGAUGUGAACAUCCAGUACUUGUGAAUGGAAGACUGGUAUCAGGAGUCAGAGAAACCUAUUCCUACCAAGCAGUGGUUCUAUUUGAAUGCCUCCCAGGUUUCUAUCUUAAUGGCAGCAACCCAGUGUUCUGUGGUGGGAGAAAUACUUGGGAACCUGAGAUGCCGACAUGUAUUAAAGGUUUCAAGCCUACUCAUCCAACCAAACCUCCAGUUUCAAAGUAUCCAGGCUAUCCUGAGCCCAAUGAAUCAGCAUUAUUCGAAGAACUGGAGGAAUUAGAUGCAGGUAUCAUUGCUGUGAUUAUUCUUACUAUCCGUAAGUAGCCCAAACUUCAAUGCCACUUAAAUCAAAAUAGUAUUGCGAGGAAGUGCAUUAUUUUUUUAAGUGACUUUUCAGUUUCUGUGGUUUUUAUAGCUUGAAAUGAAGUACAGCAGUCUAGAACAGUCUGACCUUGUAUAUGAUACUACACGUUUUGCUGGUGAAUGUAUAUUCUUUUAUAUUCCACUUGUCCACUUAG
Herpailurus yagouaroundi (jaguarundi) is the source of this 705-nucleotide long non-coding RNA. RefSeq lists it as uncharacterized. The transcript has 4 exons. The record is from RefSeq and is a predicted model, not a curated record. NCBI's taxonomy places the organism in Eukaryota, Metazoa, Chordata, Mammalia, Carnivora, Felidae.